UAAGCGGAGGAAAAGAAACUAACAAGGAUUCCCCUAGUAACGGCGAGUGAAGCGGGAAGAGCUCAACUUUGUAAUCUGGCUGCUUCGCAGUCCGAGUUGUAGUCUAUAGAAGCAUGAUCCGCGCCGGACCUUGGCCAUGUCUGUUGGAAAGCAGUGUCAAAGAGGGUGAUAAUCCCGUACAUACCAAGGACGACCGUGUGCAUUGUGGUCUGCUCUCUAAGAGUCGAGUUGUUUGGGAAUGCAGCUCUAAUUGGGUGGUAAAUUCCAUCUAAAGCUAAAUAUUGGCGAGAGACCGAUAGCGAACAAGUACAGUAAUGGAAAGAUGAAAAGUAGCCUGCAGAGGCAAUGAAACAAUACGUGAAACCGUUUGUAGGGAAACGAUGGAACCUUUUCACGCUGCAAGGGCUCAACCUGGCUUCGGCCUGGUGCAUUCCCUUGUUUUGCGGGCCAGCAUCAGUUUGCUUUGCGGUAUAAGGGUGAUUGGAACGUGGCUCCCUCGGGAGUGUUAUAGCCUUUCACUGGAUGCCGCGUCGCAGACUGAGGACUGCAGUGCGCCUUUUGGCAUUGCCCCCGGGCAACGAGCACUUAGGAUGCUGGUAGAAUGGGUUUCAACGACCCGUCUUGAAACACG
RNAcentral lists this ribosomal RNA (631 nucleotides) under Pseudobensingtonia ingoldii. RNAcentral's name for it is "eukaryotic LSU rRNA". It matches the Rfam family "Eukaryotic large subunit ribosomal RNA", at positions 47 to 663 of the family's 3401-position model. The record is from RNAcentral. Lineage: Eukaryota; Fungi; Basidiomycota; Agaricostilbomycetes; Agaricostilbales; Agaricostilbaceae.